This 28-nucleotide small RNA is filed under the name Bombyx mori (domestic silkworm). RNAcentral describes it as "ovarian small RNA-3439". The record is from RNAcentral. Lineage: Eukaryota; Metazoa; Arthropoda; Insecta; Lepidoptera; Bombycidae.
UCGCGUUGAGGUCCCCGAGAACGAGCGC